CCGGAAGAACCUUUCCAGGUUUUGACCUUCUUUGAAAACCCUUGAGAUAGGGGUUUUCCUUCGGGAACCGAGUGACAGGUGGUGCAUGGUUGUUGUCAAGUUGUGUCGUGAGAUGUUGGGUUUAGUUCCCCAACGAGCGCAACCCUUGAUUUUUAUUGCCCUCCAUUUGUUGGGCAAUUUAAGGGGGAUGCCGGGGACCAACCGGAAGAAGGUGGGGAAGACGUCAAAUCAUCAUGCCCCUUUUGACCUGGGGUACACACGUGGUACAAUGGACGGUACAAAGAGGUGCAAGACCGCGAGGUGGAGGUAAUUUCAUAAAACCGUUUUCAGUUUGGAUUGUAGGGUGCAAAUUGCCUACAUGAAGCUGGAAUCGGUUGUAAUUGCGGAUCAGCCUGCCGCGGGGAAUACGUUUCCGGGCCUUGUACACCCCGCCCGUCACAACACGAGAGUUUGUAACACCCGAAGUCGGUGGGGUAACCUUUUUGAGCCAGCCGCCUAAGGUGGACAUGAGGUUU
RNAcentral lists this ribosomal RNA (515 nucleotides) under Bacillus thuringiensis serovar thuringiensis. RNAcentral's name for it is "bacterial SSU rRNA". It matches the Rfam family "Bacterial small subunit ribosomal RNA", at positions 960 to 1476 of the family's 1533-position model. The record is from RNAcentral. Lineage: Bacteria; Bacillati; Bacillota; Bacilli; Caryophanales; Bacillaceae.